RNAcentral lists this ribosomal RNA (813 nucleotides) under Saccothecium sepincola. RNAcentral's name for it is "eukaryotic LSU rRNA". It matches the Rfam family "Eukaryotic large subunit ribosomal RNA", at positions 78 to 909 of the family's 3401-position model. The record is from RNAcentral. Lineage: Eukaryota; Fungi; Ascomycota; Dothideomycetes; Dothideales; Saccotheciaceae.
CCCUAGUAACGGCGAGUGAAGCGGCAACAGCUCAAAUUUGAAAUCUGGCGUCUUUGGCGUCCGAGUUGUAAUUUGCAGAGGGCGCUUUGGCAUUGGCAGCGGUCCAAGUUCCUUGGAACAGGACGUCACAGAGGGUGAGAAUCCCGUACGUGGUCGCUAGCCUUUACCGUGUAAAGCCCCUUCGACGAGUCGAGUUGUUUGGGAAUGCAGCUCUAAAUGGGAGGUAAAUUUCUUCUAAAGCUAAAUACUGGCCAGAGACCGAUAGCGCACAAGUAGAGUGAUCGAAAGAUGAAAAGCACUUUGGAAAGAGAGUUAAAAAGCACGUGAAAUUGUUGAAAGGGAAGCGCUUGCAGCCAGACUUGCCUGUAGUUGCUCAUCCGGGUUUCUACCCGGUGCACUCUUCUAUAGGCAGGCCAGCAUCAGUUUGGGCGGUUGGAUAAAGGUCUCUGUCAUGUACCUCCUUUCGGGGAGAACUUAUAGGGGAGACGACAUGCAACCAGCCUGGACUGAGGUCCGCGCAUCUGCUAGGAUGCUGGCGUAAUGGCUGUAAGCGGCCCGUCUUGAAACACGGACCAAGGAGUCUAACAUCUAUGCGAGUGUUUGGGUGUCAAGCCCGAGCGCGUAAUGAAAGUGAACGGAGGUGGGAACCUUUCGGGGUGCACCAUCGACCGAUCCUGAUGUCUUCGGAUGGAUUUGAGUAAGAGCAUAGCUGUUGGGACCCGAAAGAUGGUGAACUAUGCUUGAAUAGGGUGAAGCCAGAGGAAACUCUGGUGGAGGCUCGCAGCGGUUCUGACGUGCAAAUCGAUCGUCAAA